This 402-nucleotide ribosomal RNA is filed under the name uncultured bacterium. Its description in RNAcentral is "partial 16S ribosomal RNA". It matches the Rfam family "Bacterial small subunit ribosomal RNA", at positions 30 to 525 of the family's 1533-position model. The record is from RNAcentral.
AUUGAACGCUGGCGGCAGGCCUAACACAUGCAAGUCGAGCGAGCGGCGGACGGGUGAGUAAUGUAUGGGGACUGCCCGAUAGAGGGGGAUAACUACUGGAAACGGUAGCUAAUACCGCAUACUAUCGGAUAACCCAUAUGGGAUUAGCUAGUUGGUGGGGGAAAGGCUCACCAAGGAAACGAGCCGUAGCUGGUUUGAGAGGACGACCAGCGACACUGGGACUGUGCAACGGCCCAGACUCCUACGGAGGCAGCAGUGGGGAAUUUUGGACAAUGGGGGAAACCCUGAUCCAGCCAUCCCGCGUGUAUGAUGAAGGCCUUCGGGUUGUAAAGUAUUUUUGUCAGAGAAGCGGUAUCUGCAGAAUAAGCACCGGCUAACUACGUGCCAGCAGCCGCGGUAAUU